CUACGUGCCAGCAGCCGCGGUCAUACGUAGGAUCCGAGCAUUAUCCGGAGUGACUGGGUGUAAAGAGUUGCGUAGGUGGCAAGGUAAGUAGAUAGUGAAAUCUGGUGGCUCAACCAUUCAGACUAUUAUCUAAACUAUCUAGCUCGAGACUGUUAUGGGUAACUGGAAUUUCUAGUGUAGGAGUGAAAUCCGUAGAUAUUAGAAGGAACACCGAUAGCGUAGGCAGGUUACUGGGACAGUUCUGACACUAAGGCACGAAAGCGUAGGGAGCAAACGGGAUUAGAUACCCCGGUAGUCUACGCCGUAAACGAUGGAUACUAGCAGUUUUGGGUAUCGACCCCCGGAGUUGCGAAGCUAACGCGUUAAGUAUCCCACCUGUGUAGUACGAUCGCAAGAUUAAAACAUAAAGGAAUUGACGGGGACCCGCACAAGCGGUGGAGCGUGAUCUUUAAUUCGAUGGUAAACGAUAAACCUUACCAAGGCUUGACAUCCGAUGUAGGCUCUCGAAAGAGAACUGUGCA
Molecule: ribosomal RNA, 521 nt
Filed under: uncultured bacterium
Lineage: Bacteria
Description: bacterial SSU rRNA
Rfam family: Bacterial small subunit ribosomal RNA
Source: RNAcentral